RNAcentral lists this long non-coding RNA (928 nucleotides) under Chrysolophus pictus (golden pheasant). RNAcentral's name for it is "lncRNA (ENSCPIG00010001372.1)". The record is from RNAcentral. Lineage: Eukaryota; Metazoa; Chordata; Aves; Galliformes; Phasianidae.
CGUGGGAGGCGGGGCUGGAAAUGGCGGCCAAUGGGGAUGCGGAGGAGCGGCGAGUUUUAUUUGGGCUCUGUGGGGCCGCGGCCCAAACCCUGCGGGAGGGGGCGGAGCCAAUGCUGCCCAAGCUCCUCCCCCUCCUCCUCAACAGCCUGCAAGCCCCGCCCCCUGCGGCUCCCCUGGCUGCUUCUGAUUCGUUCCUUCUCUUCGAUGCUGACGAGGACGGGGAGGAGCCAAUGGACGACGAGGAGGAGGAGCACGUGACGGUGGAGGUGGGCGGAGACUUCGUGGCAGAAGUGGAGGCGGCGUGCGAGGGGGCGGGGCUUGUCGCUGAGCAUUGUGGCUCUGCUUUUGAGCCCUAUUUCUCCCCUACGCUGGAAGCUUUGCUGCCCCUGCUGGAGGUGAGGCUUCCCUGCCCCAUGCGUCUGCUCCUGCCCCAUAGACCCCAUAGAAACCCCAUAGAGACCCAUAGAAACCCCAUAGAAACCCCAUAGAGACCCAUAGAGACCCAUAGGGACCCAUAGGGACCUAAGGAGACCCAUAGAAACCCAUUGAGACCCAUAGAGUCCCCAUAGGGACCCAUAGAGACCCAUAGAAACCCCUUAGAGUCCCCAUGGAACCCCAUAGAGACCCAUUAGAAACCCUAUAGAGACCCCAUAGAAACCCCAUAGAGACCCACAGAAACUCCAUAGGGACCCCAUGGAAACCCACAGAGCCCCAUAGAGACCCCAUAGGACCUCAUAGAGGCCCUAUAAAGGUCCAUAGAGACCCAUAGGGACCCACAGAGCCCCAUAGAGCCCCACAGAGACCCCAUAGAGACCCAUAGGGACCCAUAGAGACCCACAGAGCCCCAUAGAGCCCCAUCAAGACCCCAUAGAGACCCAUAGGGACCCAUAGGGACCCAUAGAGCCCCACAGAGACCCCAUAGAGACCC